AGCUCCAAUAGCGUAUAUUAAAGUUGUUGCAGUUAAAAAGCUCGUAGUUGGAUUUGUGGCUGUCACGGGCGGCCUAUCACUUAGUGUUAGUGCUUGCCUGUGUCGCCAUCCUUGGGUGGAGCCCGUGUGGCAUUAGGUUGUCGUGCGGGGGAUGCCCAUCGUUUACUGUGAGAAAAUUAGAGUGUUCAAAGCAGGCUUAUGCCGUUGAAUAUGUUAGCAUGGAAUAAUAAGAUAGGACCUCGGUACUAUUUUGUUGGUUUGCGCACCGAGGUAAUGAUUAAUAGGGACAGUUGGGGGUAUUCGUAUUCCAUUGUCAGAGGUGAAAUUCUUGGAUUUCUGGAAGACGAACUACUGCGAAAGCAUUUACCAAGGAUGUUU
Molecule: ribosomal RNA, 378 nt
Filed under: uncultured eukaryote
Lineage: Eukaryota
Description: SSU rRNA
Rfam family: Eukaryotic small subunit ribosomal RNA
Source: RNAcentral